This 1007-nucleotide long non-coding RNA is filed under the name Equus caballus (horse). Its description in RNAcentral is "lncRNA (ENSECAG00000048333.1)". The record is from RNAcentral. Lineage: Eukaryota; Metazoa; Chordata; Mammalia; Perissodactyla; Equidae.
CCACGAGGGGCUAGAAGGGGGCAGCGGGAGGAGCAGGAAGGGUGAGGCAGUUCCGGGUGCACGGAGGAACAGAACGCCCUGAGAUAGCAUCUGGGCCUCCUCUGUUCAGAAAGCUCCACCCAUCUUACCCGAACACUCAUCUUUAAGGGCAGGGUUCCUGGGGGCAAGGGCAGGUGCCCGGGCGUACUGCCAAGCCUGGAGUCACGGGAGAAUGCACAGCUGGUUCUCCUCCAGAUGCUUUUGGGGUGAGGAGGGUGAAACAGUCAGCCCUUCUUUAACGUUGUGUACAGCUGUCACCAGUCAGAUCCACUGAGGCACCAGCCGGGGGGCUCUGGUCACCACUCUGCUGACCGAGGUGCUGCUCUCAGGGUUCUGCUUCGUGCUUCGGAGACCGCGUGAAGCCAGGGUGGGAAAGAACCAAGUGCCAGUCCUGACCUGGACUGUGGCUUCUGGCAAGUUUCCAAGUCUCAGUGCAGAUCCAGCACAUGCAAAGGACUCCACCCUUGUCAUCCUUCCACCAUCCCAGGCCACCAGGACAGUCACGCACACACGCCAUGGCCUGUCUCCCAGACUCCAGCCCAACACCCAGAAAAAUGCAGACACUUCCCAUCCAGCCAUAUGCUAAGCUACCAGAGCCCAGCAAGGCAGAGCUCGUCACCCUGCCCCCAACAGAUGAAGACGCCCAGGCUUAGAGCAAUGAAGUUACCUCCAAGGUCACACAACCCGCACACGAGCACAUACACACACGCACACACCCACCCCCGCAGCCCCCAAGGGAACAACCUGUGCGAAAAGGGGCAGCCAGGGUGGAAACAGCCACAGCGUCCCCUUCUAAACCUUGAGACGACGCUCACUGUGAGCAGGCCAUCUACGGAGAUGAUGAUGUAUGCCCAAUUCAAGCCUUUUCUGAAGGACUGCACUUUAAACUUACUGCUCCCAGGAGCAGUAGAAGAGAAAAUUGCAGACAGUAAUAAUAAAAUAACAACAAGCUGUAAUAAAUCUCCGAA